AAGCAUAGCAUUCUCCAAGCUCUCUCUCUCUCUCUCUUUAGAAUUCUCUUUAUUGCUAUCUUGCUCACUUAGCAUUUUCUUUCAGUUGUUCUAGGCUUACUUAGCAUCUUUUGUAGGCAAAAGUAUUUAAGUGCUGCACGGGUUGAGGCGUUCGAGAUUUAAGUCCGUGACAAGUGGUAUCAGCCAGGUUCUUAAAGGUUAAGCAAUAGCAGCGACAGGGUCGGAAGUUACCGAGCACGUUGGCAUUCAUGAGAGGGAUGCACUCACUCCAACCGGCAAGGAAAAAACAGGGUAAGUCGU
Molecule: long non-coding RNA, 300 nt
Filed under: Actinidia chinensis (golden kiwifruit)
Lineage: Eukaryota; Viridiplantae; Streptophyta; Magnoliopsida; Ericales; Actinidiaceae
Description: long non-coding RNA (ACHI_LNC000484)
Source: RNAcentral